Molecule: non-coding RNA, 489 nt
Organism: Manis javanica (Malayan pangolin)
Lineage: Eukaryota; Metazoa; Chordata; Mammalia; Pholidota; Manidae
Source: RefSeq, a predicted model, not a curated record
GGGGCUCUCGCUUCGCUCUAGAGGCCUCAGAGGCAUUUCCGACGGGGACCGCCCCGCCUGCCGAUCCAGGCACCCACUGAAGGCGAGACGGACAGGAGGCUCGAGGAAUCCAGGAGGAGGGCCGAGGUGGCAGGCGGCGCAGGCCAGGGGGAGCGCACGCAGAGAGCAGGGGUCGGCUGGAUGGGACCAGUGAUAGGGCCGUGGCGGGGCACCCAGCACCCUUGGAGAAAAGGAGAGGCGCCCACUAGGCCUUCCUUGCAGGCCAGCAGGACUCAGACCCGACCCGCCACCCCAAACGAGCGUCAGAAGGCUGUGGUAGACGCCUUCCGCCACGCAUGGGCUGGAUACCGCAAGUUUGCCUGGGGCCAUGAUGAGCUGAAGCCUGUGUCCAGGUCGUUCAGCGAGUGGUUCGGGCUGGGCCUCACGCUGAUUGAUGCCCUGGACACCAUGUGGAUUUUGGGUCUGAAGAAAGGUACUUGCUCUUUCCAA